GAUGAACGCUGGCGGCGUGCCUAAUACAUGCAAGUCGAGCGAACGGACGAGAAGCUUGCUUUUCUGAUGUUAGCGGCGGACGGGUGAGUAACACGUGGAUAACCUACCUAUAAGACUGGGAUAACUUCGGGAAACCGGAGCUAAUACCGGAUAAUAUUUUGAACCGCAUGGUUCAAAAGUGAAAGACGGUCUUGCUGUCACUUAUAGAUGGAUCCGCGCUGCAUUAGCUAGUUGGUAAGGUAACGGCUUACCAAGGCAACGAUGCAUAGCCGACCUGAGAGGGUGAUCGGCCACACUGGAACUGAGACACGGUCCAGACCCCUACGGGAGGCAGCAGUAGGGAAUCUUCCGCAAUGGGCGAAAGCCUGACGGAGCAACGCCGCGUGAGUGAAGAAGGUCUUCGGAUCGUAAAACUCUGUUAUUAGGGAAGAACAUAUGUGUAAGUAACUGUGCACAUCUUGACGGUACCUAAUCAGAAAGCCACGGCUAACUACGUG
RNAcentral lists this ribosomal RNA (497 nucleotides) under uncultured bacterium. Its description in RNAcentral is "partial 16S ribosomal RNA". It matches the Rfam family "Bacterial small subunit ribosomal RNA", at positions 28 to 507 of the family's 1533-position model. The record is from RNAcentral.